CCGUCUUUAGUGGAAAUAUAUAUGAAUAGGCCACCUGAAAGAAAGCCGAGCAUGACCAGCCCUCUGUAGGUGAACCUGCAGGA
RNAcentral lists this ribosomal RNA (83 nucleotides) under Foraminifera sp. RNAcentral's name for it is "partial small subunit ribosomal RNA". The record is from RNAcentral. Lineage: Eukaryota; Foraminifera.